GCCCGGUUAGCUUAGUGGUAGAGCGUUGCACUUGGUAUGCAAAGGUCAUUCGUUCGACUCGGAUACGGGGCA
This 72-nucleotide transfer RNA is filed under the name Epichloe festucae E2368. RNAcentral's name for it is "tRNA-Pro (TGG) (tRNA-Pro-TGG-2-1)". It matches the Rfam family "tRNA". Rfam says of the family: Transfer RNA (tRNA) molecules are approximately 80 nucleotides in length. Their secondary structure includes four short double-helical elements and three loops (D, anti-codon, and T loops). The record is from RNAcentral. Lineage: Eukaryota; Fungi; Ascomycota; Sordariomycetes; Hypocreales; Clavicipitaceae. RNAcentral also lists the same sequence under 1 other name.